This 200-nucleotide ribosomal RNA is filed under the name uncultured bacterium. Its description in RNAcentral is "partial 16S ribosomal RNA". It matches the Rfam family "Bacterial small subunit ribosomal RNA", at positions 328 to 539 of the family's 1533-position model. The record is from RNAcentral.
ACGCUCGACACCUACGAGAGGCAGCAGUGGGGAAUAUUGGGCAAUGGGCGCAAGCCUGACCCAGCAACGCCGCGUGAAGGAAGAAGGCUUUCGGGUUGUAAACUUCUUUUGUCAGGGAACAGUAGAAGAGGGUACCUGACGAAUAAGCCACGGCUAACUACGUGCCAGCAGCCGCGGUAAUCUGAGCGGGCUGGCAAGGC